GCCUUGCCGGACGAGCUGAGAGGAGGUGCAUGGCCGUCGCCAGUGCGUGCCGUGAGGUGUCCUGUUAAUUCAGGCAACGGACGAGACCCGCGCCUCCAGUUGCGACCGGGCCGAAAGGCGCCGAGCACUCUGGAGGGACUGCCCCGGAAACGGGGAGGAAGGAGCGGGCUACGGCAGGUCAGUAUGCCCCGAAUCCCCCGGGCCGCACGCGACGUUCAAUGGUGGGGACAGUGGGCUGCGACCCCGAAAGGGGAAGCCAAUCCCUAAACCCCACCUCAGUAGGGAUCGAGGGUUGCAACUCGCCCUCGUGAACGCGGAAUCCCUAGUAACCGCCCGUUACCACCGGGCGGUGAAUACGUCCCCGCUCCUUGCACACACUGCCCGUCGCUGCACCCGAGCUGGAACUGGGCGAGGGCCCGUCUUGUUGGCGGGUUCGAGCCCGGUUCUGGUGAGGGGGCAGAAGUCGUAACAAGGUGGCCGCACGGGAACGUGUGGCCGGAUCACCUCCU
RNAcentral lists this ribosomal RNA (509 nucleotides) under Candidatus Caldarchaeum subterraneum. RNAcentral's name for it is "bacterial SSU rRNA". It matches the Rfam family "Archaeal small subunit ribosomal RNA", at positions 965 to 1478 of the family's 1478-position model. Lineage: Archaea; Thermoproteati; Nitrososphaerota; Candidatus Caldarchaeales; Candidatus Caldarchaeaceae. The record is from RNAcentral.